RNAcentral lists this ribosomal RNA (126 nucleotides) under uncultured marine bacterium. RNAcentral's name for it is "partial small subunit ribosomal RNA". It matches the Rfam family "Bacterial small subunit ribosomal RNA", at positions 357 to 503 of the family's 1533-position model. The record is from RNAcentral.
GGGAUUGGACAAUGGGCGCAAGCCUGAUCCAGCCAUGCCGCGUGUGUGAUGAAGGCCUUAGGGUCGUAAAGCUCUUUCGCCAGAGAUGAUAAUGACGGUAUCUGGAGAAGAAACCCCGGCUACUCG